RNAcentral lists this ribosomal RNA (1132 nucleotides) under Escherichia coli. RNAcentral describes it as "bacterial LSU rRNA". It matches the Rfam family "Bacterial large subunit ribosomal RNA", at positions 1 to 1164 of the family's 2925-position model. The record is from RNAcentral. Lineage: Bacteria; Pseudomonadati; Pseudomonadota; Gammaproteobacteria; Enterobacterales; Enterobacteriaceae.
GGGUUGUGAGGUUAAGCGACUAAGCGUACACGGUGGAUGCCCUGGCAGUCAGAGGCGAUGAAGGACGUGCUAAUCUGCGAUAAGCGUCGGUAAGGUGAUAUGAACCGUUAUAACCGGCGAUUUCCGAAUGGGGAAACCCAGUGUGAUUCGUCACACUAUCAUUAACUGAAUCCAUAGGUUAAUGAGGCGAACCGGGGGAACUGAAACAUCUAAGUACCCCGAGGAAAAGAAAUCAACCGAGAUUCCCCCAGUAGCGGCGAGCGAACGGGGAGCAGCCCAGAGCCUGAAUCAGUGUGUGUGUUAGUGGAAGCGUCUGGAAAGGCGUGCGAUACAGGGUGACAGCCCCGUACACAAAAAUGCACAUGCUGUGAGCUCGAUGAGUAGGGCGGGACACGUGGUAUCCUGUCUGAAUAUGGGGGGACCAUCCUCCAAGGCUAAAUACUCCUGACUGACCGAUAGUGAACCAGUACCGUGAGGGAAAGGCGAAAAGAACCCCGGCGAGGGGAGUGAAAAAGAACCUGAAACCGUGUACGUACAAGCAGUGGGAGCACGCUUAGGCGUGUGACUGCGUACCUUUUGUAUAAUGGGUCAGCGACUUAUAUUCUGUAGCAAGGUUAACCGAAUAGGGGAGCCGAAGGGAAACCGAGUCUUAACUGGGCGUUAAGUUGCAGGGUAUAGACCCGAAACCCGGUGAUCUAGCCAUGGGCAGGUUGAAGGUUGGGUAACACUAACUGGAGGACCGAACCGACUAAUGUUGAAAAAUUAGCGGAUGACUUGUGGCUGGGGGUGAAAGGCCAAUCAAACCGGGAGAUAGCUGGUUCUCCCCGAAAGCUAUUUAGGUAGCGCCUCGUGAAUUCAUCUCCGGGGGUAGAGCACUGUUUCGGCAAGGGGGUCAUCCCGACUUACCAACCCGAUGCAAACUGCGAAUACCGGAGAAUGUUAUCACGGGAGACACACGGCGGGUGCUAACGUCCGUCGUGAAGAGGGAAACAACCCAGACCGCCAGCUAAGGUCCCAAAGUCAUGGUUAAGUGGGAAACGAUGUGGGAAGGCCCAGACAGCCAGGAUGUUGGCUUAGAAGCAGCCAUCAUUUAAAGAAAGCGUAAUAGCUCACUGGUCGAGUCGGCCUGCGC